GCACCGAAGAGAGAAGCAUCUGAUAAUAUUGGAACGAUACAGAGAAGAUUAACAUGGAAGGAUGACACGCACAAAUUGAGAAGCGAGCGGCACAUGC
Molecule: small nuclear RNA, 97 nt
Filed under: Triticum aestivum (bread wheat)
Lineage: Eukaryota; Viridiplantae; Streptophyta; Magnoliopsida; Poales; Poaceae
Also listed under: 1 other name
Source: RNAcentral